This 732-nucleotide ribosomal RNA is filed under the name uncultured bacterium. RNAcentral describes it as "bacterial SSU rRNA". It matches the Rfam family "Bacterial small subunit ribosomal RNA", at positions 771 to 1501 of the family's 1533-position model. The record is from RNAcentral.
AACAGGAUUAGAUACCCUGGUAGUCCACGCCCUAAACGAUGUCAACUAGUUGUUGGUAGAGUAAAAUCUAUGAGUAACGCAGCUAACGCGUGAAGUUGACCGCCUGGGGAGUACGAUCGCAAGAUUAAAACUCAAAUGAAUUGACGGGGGCCCGCACAAGCGGUGGAUUAUGUGGAUUAAUUCGAUGCAACGCGAAAAACCUUACCUGGCCUUGACAUGUACGGAACUUUCCAGAGAUGGAUUGGUGCUCGAAAGAGAACCGUAACACAGGUGCUGCAUGGCUGUCGUCAGCUCGUGUCGUGAGAUGUUGGGUUAAGUCCCGCAACGAGCGCAACCCUUGCCAAUAAUUGCCGUCAUUUAGUUGGGCACUUUAUUGGGACUGCCGAUGACAAAUCGGAGGAAGGUGGGGAUGACGUCAAGUCCUCAUGGCCCUUAUGGCCAGGGCUUCACACGUAAUACAAUGGUCGGUACAGAGGGUCGCCAACCCGCGAGGGGGAGCUAAUCCCAGAAAGCCGAUCGUAGUCCGGAUUGUUCUCUGCAACUCGAGAGCAUGAAGUCGGAAUCGCUAGUAAUCGCGGAUCAGCAUGUCGCGGUGAAUACGUUCCCGGGCCUUGUACACACCGCCCGUCACACCAUGGGAGUGGGUUUUACCAGAAGUAGGUAGUCUAACCGCAAGGAGGGCGCUUACCACGGUAGUAUUCAUGACUGGGGUGAAGUCGUAACAAGGUAACC